ACGAACGCUGGCGGCGUGCCUAACACAUGCAAGUCAGGGAGAAAAAGGUAGCAAUAUCUUGAGUAAACCGGCGAACGGGUGAGUAACACGUAAGCAACCUUCCUUAUGAACGGGAAUAACCCCGCGAAAGCGGAGCUAAUACCCGAUGACAUUUCGAUGCGGCAUUGUAUUGAAAUCAAAGGCCCGCAAGGGCGUCAUAAGAUGGGCUUGCGUCCCAUUAGAUAGUUGGCGGGGUAAUGGCCCACCAAGUCGACGAUGGGUAGCUGGGCUGAGAGGACGAUCAGCCACACUGGAACUGAGACACGGUCCAGACUCCUACGGGAGGCAGCAGUGAGGAAUAUUGCUCAAUGGGCGAAAGCCUGAAGCAGCGACGCCGCGUGAGGGAUGAAAUCCGUUAGGAUGUAAACCUCUUUUACAGGGGAUGAAUGUGGCGCUUUAGCGCCAUUGACCGUACCCUGUGAAUAAGCACCGGCCAACUACGU
This 482-nucleotide ribosomal RNA is filed under the name uncultured bacterium. RNAcentral describes it as "bacterial SSU rRNA". It matches the Rfam family "Bacterial small subunit ribosomal RNA", at positions 29 to 506 of the family's 1533-position model. The record is from RNAcentral.